GCGUGGAGACAGGUGGUGCAUGGCUGUCGUCAGCUCGUGUCGUGAGAUGUUGGGUUAAGUCCCGCAACGAGCGCAACCCUCACCUCUUGUUGCCACCAGGUCAUGCUGGGCACCCUAGAGGAGCUGCCCCGGUCAACGGGGAGGAAGGCGGGGAUGACGUCAAGUCAUCAUGCCCCUUACGUCCUGGGCUACACACGUGCUACAAUGGCCGGUACAAAGGGAUGCCACACCGCGAGGUAGAGCUAAACCCAAAAAGCCGGUCUAAGUUCAGAUUGGAGUCUGCAACUCGACUCUAUGAAGGAGGAAUCGCUAGUAAUCGCGUAUCAGCACGACGCGGUGAAUACGUUCCCGGGCCUUGUACACACCGCCCGUCACACCACGAAAGCCAGCUGUACUCGAAGUCGCUGAG
RNAcentral lists this ribosomal RNA (409 nucleotides) under uncultured Methylomirabilota bacterium. Its description in RNAcentral is "bacterial SSU rRNA". It matches the Rfam family "Bacterial small subunit ribosomal RNA", at positions 1026 to 1434 of the family's 1533-position model. The record is from RNAcentral. Lineage: Bacteria; Methylomirabilota (SeqCode).